Molecule: ribosomal RNA, 1137 nt
Filed under: human gut metagenome
Description: bacterial LSU rRNA
Rfam family: Bacterial large subunit ribosomal RNA
Source: RNAcentral
GAAAAGGCCCAAGCGACUGUUUACCAAAAACACAAGUUUCUGCUAAGUCGAAAGACGAAGUAUAGGAGCUGACACCUGCCCGGUGCUGGAAGGUUAAGGGAAAAAGUUAGCGCGAGCGAAGCUUAGAACUGAAGCCCCAGUAAACGGCGGCCGUAACUAUAACGGUCCUAAGGUAGCGAAAUUCCUUGUCGGGUAAGUUCCGACCCGCACGAAAGGUGUAACGAUUUGGGCACUGUCUCAACAAAGGAUCCGGUGAAAUUGUAGUAGCGGUAAAGAUGCCGCUUACCCACGACAGGACGGAAAGACCCCGUGGAGCUUUACUGUAGGCUGAGAUUGAAUUUUGGGAUUAAAUGUACAGAAUAGGUGGGAGGCUAAGAAUUAGGUACGCCAGUAUCUAAGGAGCCACCGUUGGGAUACCACUCUUUUGAUACUAGAAUUCUAACCUAAUCCCGUGAAACCGGGAAAGGGACACUCUCAGUUGGACAGUUUGACUGGGGCGGUCGCCUCCAAAAGAGUAACGGAGGCGUUCAAAGGUUCCCUCAGCACGGACGGAAAUCGUGCAAAGAGUAUAAAGGCAGAAGGGAGCUUAACUGCGAGACCAACAAGUCGAGCAGAUGCGAAAGCAGGACUUAGUGAUCCGGUGGUACCGAGUGGAAGGGCCAUCGCUCAACGGAUAAAAGCUACCCCGGGGAUAACAGGCUUAUCUCCCCCAAGAGUCCACAUCGACGGGGAGGUUUGGCACCUCGAUGUCGGCUCGUCUCAUCCUGGGGCUGAAGUAGGUCCCAAGGGUUGGGCUGUUCGCCCAUUAAAGAGGCACGCGAGCUGGGUUCAGAACGUCGCGAGACAGUUCGGUCCCUAUCCGUCGUGGGCGUAGGAAAUUUGAGAGGAGCUGUCCUUAGUACGAGAGGACCGGGAUGGACAAACCUCUGGUGCACCAGUUGUACUGCCAAGUGCAUAGCUGGGAAGCUAAGUUUGGAAGGGAUAAGAGCUGAAGGCAUCUAAGCCCGAAGCCCCCCUCGAGAUGAGAUUUCCCUCGAAAGAUAAGACCCCUAGAAGAAAAUUAGGUAGAUAGGCUCAAGGUGUAAGUGUAGCAAUACAUUCAGCUAGCGAGUACUAAUAGGUCGAAGACUUGACCAA